GCAGAGACCUGCAAGAGAGAUCGGAGUCAGACAUUCCCCGUGGCCGGUCCACGGCAGACAUGUCCUCCAUAUUCAAGUUGGUUGAAGACCAAGUCAUCACAUUUGUAAAGAGUGAAUUAAAGAAGUUCAAGAAGAUUCAGAGUCCAGAUCACCCAGAAUGCUCUAACAGUCAGGGGAAGGGUGGUGGUGUACGGUGAAGAUGAGAACCAGGAGAGCAGUGCCAGAGAGGGGGCUCUGAAGAUCACACUGCACAUUCUGAGGAACAUGAACCAGAAAGAGCUCACUGACACACUGGAGAACAAUCUUUUAGGUGAGCUUGCUGUGUGUCAACCUAAACUCAACUUUAAAAAAAGGAAGUUUGAAUGUGUGUUUGAAGGAAUGGCUACACAAGGAAACCCAACACUUCUCAAUCAGAUCUACACCGAGCUCUACAUUCACAGAGGGUGGAAGUGGAGAGGUCAAUUAUGAACAUGAGGUGAAACAGAUUAAGACAGCAUCCAGGAGAUCAGCAAUACAAGAGACACCGUUCAAAAUGCAAUGACAUCUUUGAACCCUUACCUGAGCAAGACAAACUAACAGAACUGUCCUGACAAAGGGAGUUGCUGGCAUUGGCAGAAGUUAAUUCUGGACUGGGCUGAAGGAAAAGCCAAUCAAGAUAUCCAGUUGUUAUUUUCACUUCCUUUUCAAGAGCUGAUUUUAAAAAAAAUGGAAAUAAGAGUCCGCAACCUCAGACUUCAACAACUAUAAUGUGCUGUUUGGUCUGGGUGACUGUCGACUUCCCCUUGACUUCCAGAACAACGAGUCCUGGUGUGAUGUUUCAAAGUCAACCUCAGUGGAAGUGCUGCUGACAAACCUCAUUCAGGGGAAUCUGCUUCCCUAUGCUCACAUCUGGAUAACCUCCUGACCAGCAGCUGCUAGUCACUUUGAAUUUGUAUACCUGAGUUUUUCCCAGUGUACAUUGUGGAUCCUCCAGUAUGGCAGAGAGCAGCUUCACCCCUGAGUCUCCUGGGUGAUUGUAGCUCAGGUCCAGCUUUCUCACAUGAAGGUUUGGACCGCAGCGCUUCAGCUAGAGAAGCACAGCCUUCCUUUGCGACUCCACAGAAGGACAAACUGCAAAUAAUAUGAAUUUCACUCUAAGUAGUUGGUUGGAAGUAGGCUAGAGUGUGAUCCGCCUCGAUCCACGUUGAGUGAAAAUCUAGUAACAAACCGUUUGAUGCUUAAAAUGUGAGUUUACUUUAGUAAUUUUAAUAUCAUAAACUGAUUUUACUAACCUGAGUGUCUGCAGUUUAGACCCUCCAGUCCAGCAAAGCAGCUUCACUCCUGAAUUCUGGUAUGCAAUAUGUAUAUGAUCAUAAUUGAUUGUUGCCUGGCCUUUGUACUGUAUGGGAAGACCUCAAUUGAAUAAUCCUCUCGUGUCGUUCUCAAAGCCCAUAUGAUGAGAAAGCCAGAAGUUUCUCCCCUCUGACCUCCUCGAAUGGGUUUUGAGGAGAUGAAGACGCAAGCAUUAUGCAAUUGAGAUCUUCCCUGUGUUUCUCAACCACUGUUGGGUGUUCUGCUUUUACAGUGUGAACCAUGAUGCAGAACGCUGGAUAAAAUCUGGCCUAAGAAAAUGUAACUUGAUUUCUCUUGAAAGUUGCAAACUCAAAUGAUUCAGUGAGAAUACUUGAAAAUGUUUAUUUGUUGGAUAGAAAGAUUAAAAGGACAGUAAUUAAAACAAAAUACUAAUAAUCGUGUCUUUCCAUUAGAAGCCUGUGAGCCAACACUGGACGCAAACACGGCACACAGAAAACUCUGUCAGAGGGGAACAUGGGGGAGAGAAGAGCAGCCGUAUCCUGAUCACCCAGAGAGAUGUGAGGGCUGUUGGCAGGUGCUGUGUAAAGAGGGUCUGAAUAGGCGCAGUUAUUGGGAGUCGGAUCGAAGAGGAAAUGGGAAUGACAGAGAAAAAUCGGCAGGAGUGGAGAGUUUGGGGACUGUUGGCUUGGACGUAAUGACAAGUCCUGGAGUUUGCGAUGCUUUGACAACAGUUACAUUGCCUUCCAAAAUGCUAGGAGUAUUGCUUUACCUGCUCCCUCGUCUUAUUCGAACAGAGUAGGAGUGUAUCUGGACUGGCUGGCACUCUGUCCUUCUACAGUGUCUCCUCUGGUACACUGACCCAUCUGCAUACAUUAUACUCCACAUUUUCUGACCCUCUUUACCCAGGGUUUAGGGUUGGGAAUGAUGACAGUGUGCCUGUGUCAGGUAGAGCAGCCUCCAAUUUGAAACUCAGGCCAGAAUUCCAUCUAGUUGAUUUUGGCAUUGCGGUGUUAGAAGUACGUUCACGUUCACGUUUUAGUGGAAGCCCUGGUAGGAUGUUGUUAGCCACACUCCCUUCUAUUUUUAUCUUGAUAAUUCAUUGCAGUCACGCAGAUUUUAAAUCUGUGACACACUGUGCAAAUCAAACAAUUUCGGUGACCUUAAAUAAAAUGGCAUUUAUUUUUCUACUCUGCUUCACCUACAAACAUUUUUGGUUUUGUUGAAUUUAGGAGUUAAGCAUCCUGAGUGAGAGAAUUUUUAUGUUUUAUCUGGAAUAAAAAUCUAAGAUGUGCCCAGAUCACAGCCUUAAACACCACUUGUAAAUUUAGGAAAUAUGUGUUGAACAUUAAUGUAGGCUAAUUGAGUUAUCACAUACUAUAGCCAGAUAUCUAGGCCAUUGAACUUCUGUUACCUGGUCUCAGAGCUACAAACCAUUUUAUGUAGUGAAAGUGUCUGGAUGAAAAAUGCUGUUGAGGAGAAUGUGACAGUUUUGGCUGAGAGACCACUGAAAAUGUUAUCCCGCUAGAUAGUGAUGCGAUAAAUACAUGUAAGUAACUACUACCGUCCUAAGAUGAGUGGCGGUUCUGACAUCAGCAGCACUAGCUAUUAUGCAUCCUCAUCGGAUAAAGAGUACUUCCCCUAAAUUUUGGUAGGAAAAAAAAAAAGUACUUUACUUGCCUAUAUGCUAUAGAGAGCGACAACAACAAAACAGUAUGGCAUUGCCCCAGAUAUUCUGUA
This is a long non-coding RNA of Oncorhynchus masou masou (cherry salmon), 3030 nucleotides long. RefSeq lists it as uncharacterized. NCBI's taxonomy places the organism in Eukaryota, Metazoa, Chordata, Actinopteri, Salmoniformes, Salmonidae. The transcript has 3 exons. The record is from RefSeq and is a predicted model, not a curated record.